AUCCAACUUCCUGCCUGAGCUUCGGUCUCUUUUGGUUCCGUGUCUCUCUUCUUUCCGACUCAUCGGUUCACUCGAACGCCUCCCUUCACUGCAGGAUGGGACAGCUGACCACCCUCCUCCUGCUCCUGCUCCUGCUCCUGCUCGCCCUGUGCUGGGGUCGGAGGUCAAACCCGGAUGGCGAGAGGCCCUCCUGUGACCGCUGUGACCGGCGGCUCGCCUGUAACUGCUCCCACGGCGGGUUAACCCGCGUUCCCUCGGUAACAGGCCGCGCCCUGACUCUUGAUCUCUCCUUCAACGACAUCAGCGAGGUGGGGGGCGACGACCUGACGCGACACGCCCGGCUGGGGUCUCUGAGUCUCCACGGGAACAAACUAGCUGUGAUCCACCCGUCGGCGUUUGACCCUCUGUGGAGCCUGGAGGAGCUCGAUCUGUCUGACAACCAGCUGACUGCCCUCAACCACAGGUGGUUCAGCGAGCUCGGAGCACUGCAGGAGCUCAACCUGCUCCACAACCCGUACAGCUGCCUGGGUUCUCGUCCAGUGUUUCAGAGGCUGGUCAGGCUGAGGAGGCUGGGGGUCGGAGGUCCUGCUCUGGAGGAGCUAAAGAGAAGAGACCUGUCCGGAGUCACUCAGCUGGAGGAGCUCACUGUGCACGCCAACAACCUGAGGAGGUAUGAAACCGGUACUCUAGCGGACAUUUGGCCACUGGGUCGCGUCACUCUGAGCCUCCACGGACCCUUUGUAACCAACGUAUCCUUAGCCUCGGCUGUGCUCGGGGACGUGUCCUACCCCGAGACACAGCUCAUCCUGGAAGACCUCCAUCUGGUGAGGAAUCAGUCUGCCCCGGCCUUCAGAGAGACAGCCAGGAAGAGAGUCAGGAAAAUGACCUUCUGCAACAUUUCUGUGUCCGAUGAGGCCUUAACUGAUUUCCUGGUGGCGAUGGACGGAGUUCCGCUCACCUCCUUGUUCAUGGAAGGCAUCACACUGACAGGCGAGGGCAGGUGGGAGCGAGCCAGACGGACGGACUAUAGAAGCUUUGACGAGGUCUUUUUCCGAAACGUCGUGGUGCUUAAUGUCUUUCACUUUGCGUCCUUUCUGAACCUGUCGUUUCUGCUAAAGUACCCCAGAAAGGUGUCCAUCAUAAACUCUCAGGUAUUUGUGAUGCCCUGCGUCACGUCCCGCCUGCUCGUGAGCCUGCAGUACCUGGACCUGUCCGACAACCUGCUGACUGACAUGACUCUGGUGGAGACACUGUGCGACGGAGACGGCACUCUGAAGGGCCUCCGAGUUUUAAACCUCAGCGGAAACGCUCUGAAGUCUUUGUCAACGAUGAGCCGGCAGGUAGCAAAGCUCUCCAAGCUAACCCACCUGGACAUCAGCAGGAACGGAUACAGCUCCAUGCCCCAGGGCUGCUCCUGGCCCUCCACCUUGCGAUACCUCAACAUCUCCAGGGCCAAGCUGACUAACAUCACCUCUUGUCUACCUGCCACUCUGGAGGUGUUGGAUCUCAGCAACAAUGAUCUCCAGGGCUUCCUCCUGACCCUGCCUGCCCUAAGAGAGCUCCACCUCUCUGGGAACAGGUUACUGAGGCUGCCCCCUGGACGGCUGUUCCCCAACCUGAAAACACUGAAAAUACAGUCAAACACCCUGAACAUGUUCGACCGUUCGGACCUCCACUCGUUCAGCCGGCUCCAGGACCUCCAGGCGGGUCAGAACAAAUUUGUCUGCUCCUGCGACUUUGUCUACUUCCUCCAGUCGGCCGUUAAAGGAGGUGAAGGUGUGCAUUUGACAGACGGCGAGGAGAGCUACGUCUGCGACUCCCCUUUCUACCUGCAGGGGGAACCGGCCGAUCGGGUCCAACUCUCCUUUGUCGUGUGCCAGCGUGUUUUGUUUGUGUCCGUGAGCUGUGGAGUGGCGCUGUUUGUAGGACUUCUGGUGUGUGUCCUGCUGUGGCGCCUCCAUGCGUUCUGGUACCUCAAGAUGACGUGGGCGUGGCUACGGGCCAAGCGUGGCUCCCGGAGACAGCGGCGCCGACGCAGAGACGGACCGGAAUCGGAGGCGUUGCUUUCCUACGACGCCUUUGUGUCCUACAGCGAGAGAGACGCGAGCUGGGUGGAAAACUUCUUAGUCGCUGAGCUGGAGGAGCCACGGGAGAACGAUGAAGGCUCUGUGAACCACAGAGCCCCCCGACCUCUGACCCUCUGCCUCCACAAGCGGGACUUCCUUCCCGGACACUGGAUUGUGGACAACAUCAUGUGCGCCAUGGAGCGCAGCCGGCACACCGUCUUCAUCCUCUCCGAGAACUUCGUCCAGUCCGACUGGUGCCGCUACGAGCUGGACUUCUCCCACUUCCAGCUGUUCGAUGGCAGUGCUGGCGGAGACGCCGCCAUCUUGGUCCUGUUGGAGCCGCUGUCCAAAGACGACAUCCCCAAGCGCUUCUGCAAACUGCGCAAACUCAUGAGCUCCAACACCUACCUGGAGUGGCCUCAGGAGGAGGAGAGGAGGGGGGAGUUCUGGAGGAAACUCCGCCACGCUUUGAGAGGAGAGGAAGAGGAGGAUGACUGAGAGAGAAGGAACCAUCGAUUCGGCUCUAUCGGACCUCUCUAACCCGGGGAAACUCGCCUAGAGGUAGCUGCCCACAAAUCAGAGAAAUGUCAACUAGUAAUAUGAUCCACUGGACAGCGUUCUCACAAAGUCUUUAAAUAUGGUAAGCAGAGGCUGGGCGGACUCUAUCACACUCUCUGUUUGUUUUGGAAACCCAAAGACAAAUCCUGAGGUGUGCAAACCAAACACUCUACAACCGGCAUCAAACACUGGAGAGCCAGAAGAUCCGCGGUACAUGAAAGUGUGGUAGGUCACCACUUCGUCUGCUUUGUUUCCACCCAUCAUUAUGUCAUCAAUGCCUUGCUCUCCGAUAAGGUGAGCGAUUGAGUAGAGAAUGAAAGGAGCGUCUCUGUAUGGAUGCAGAUGACCCUGGACAGCCUGCUCUCGCUGCUCUUUCUCAAUGAUACAUGUUGGAUCCAUUUUUUUCAGGCCUCCUGCCGGGUGACCAAUAAUACAGGCUUCCCCAUUGGGUGGCAUUGGGCCAAAUUUAUCCAGGAGCCCUGGCGGCACCUUAGCUGGUGUUGCUUUGGACAUUUGGUCCUCAGGUUUGAUCUCAAGUAUGGCAUAGUCCAGCUCACCCUGACUGUAGUUAAUCAACGUUCUUUUAACUAGAUAGGAGUUGUAGUUUGUGUGCGGCUCAGGAACGUCAUAGUUAAAGAAAGCAUACACCUCUAUAUCCUGCUUCAGCUUUCUUCCUUCGACACAAUCUUUCAAAAUGUGUGCGUUAGUCAGGAUGAAGUUGUCAAACAGCACAAAACCUGUUCCCUGUGAACCAUUCACAACAACCACUUUGCAAACUGAUUUCCCGAAUUCAAUCAGCUCCCUGACUCUGUGCACUUCACUGAAGGAUUGCUGGAUCUUCCCAAAGUCUUCCUUCCUCAGGUCCAAUGCUCUCUGAUAAGAAUCACCAGGAAAUCUCUUCUCCAUCAGUUCUUUCAGACUUGGGAACUGAUCGCGCAGUUUUUUAUAAAUCUCCUCAUUGUUGACACUGUUUUCCAAAACAGUUGUGACGCUGGUUCCUCUCUGCUCUACGGCUAUCAAAGCUGUUGUGUUCUGCUGUAUAUUAGUGUCACGCUUACGCCUCUGGUGUGAAUGUGAUGCACCCGGGCUUUUGCCCAGCUUGUCUUUUAGAAGACAUAUCUUGAACUUGUUCCCAUGUAGCUGGUCAACUCUCUGAGUGCAUUCAGUGAAACAGUUUGGAUUCUUAUUGUGAGACAGAGUGAAGUUGCCGAGAGCAUCAAUGAAGCGACCGUCUCUCUGCAGAGCCUCUUCCACAGUCCACCCCUUGACCCCAUAGACACACAGGUACCUGAACUUUUUGAGAGCCUUGUUUAAGAAAGUAGUCUUUGUUUUGGUGUAUUGUCCUCCACCUGUGUCAAUGUAGAAGACAGAAUACUGGCCCCUUGAAUGCACCGUAUUGUAAUGUUGGUCUUGGGCCGCUUCAACCUUUUCUGGUUGAUGUGUUAUGAAGAGAGAUUCACCUUCAUUGAUACAAGAACGAGGGAAAUGUGUUGCAACAGUAACUUCCUUAUCCUCUUCACCCAACUGAAUCACAAUGUUUUCAUCUUUAUACUCGAGCUCCUCAUAUCUUUUACUUGAUUUAAUCGCCUCCAGCACUGUGCCAGGUUGAUUCCAUUCAAUAGUGUAUUUAUGGGGGUCUUCAGGGCUGAAUUUCACAGUGAAAUGAUGUGAAUGUCCGUCCUGCAGGAAACCAGAGAGAAAAUAAAAGUUACAUCUCCUUAUUGAUGAGAUACAAAUGCAGACUUUUUUUCACUUUUUAUAUUUUAUUUAUGUUAGAGGUCACUUUGAAUGAAAUCUAUGAAUUUGUAAUGUUCCAAAUUCAUUUUGGGUGGUUAAGGGGUGAAAAAUGUAGUCGUGAGCCCUAAAGGGCUUUGUCUCAAUGGGGUCUUUGUGAAAUAAUGCACACUAAGAAAUCAGUUGGACACGCUGUGGCUGUUUGCAUAGAAAUGACAGCGACUAUAUAUAUCUUAGGACCAAACAUACAGAUUCAGUCAAAGAUUAUACAUCUUUGUUAAGUAUUGAUGACUUUGAUCAUUGUAGCUGAGAUUUUACUUACAAUUAUCCUGCAAUAGGACCUGAUGUUUCUUGCUUUUUGGAAGUUACCUCCAACUAAAACAAAUACAAUAAUACAGUUAGUGGAUGUCAUUAAGAGCAAUCAACUGGAACUAGCUAACUAACAUCCGACACCUAAACAUAUUAAUUUAGUAAACACACUGACAUAUAUAUAUACAUGUUCAUGAGAAAUACCAUAAUAAUAAGAAUGCGCUUUAAAGAAAGAAUCUGGAAGUAUUACCUUGACUUUGCUCUGAAUGGUGGAACGCUGUGCUGAACAUAGAUAUGAAAUGACGGAUUCUACGCUGUAUAGAAGUCUAUGCUUCAUGUGUUAAAGCUGCAUU
Cyclopterus lumpus (lumpfish) is the source of this 5020-nucleotide RNA transcript. It is a transcript of the gene named toll-like receptor 2, with no coding region annotated. NCBI's taxonomy places the organism in Eukaryota, Metazoa, Chordata, Actinopteri, Perciformes, Cyclopteridae. The record is from RefSeq and is a predicted model, not a curated record. The transcript has 13 exons.